GGACAUGAGUCAGGCAAGGCUACCCGCUGAAUUUAAGCAUAUAAGUAAGCGGAGGAAAAGAAACCAAAUGGGAUUCCCCUAGUAAUGGCGAAUGAACAGGGAUCAGCUCAAAUUGAGAAUCGUCGCCAUCUUGAUAUGGCGGUGAAUUGUAGUCUGAAGGUGGUUACCAGUGAGGACGCCAGAGUAAUUCUCUUGGGAUAGAGCUUCGUAGAGGGUGAGAUACCCGUCUGCCUCUAGCUUUCUCCUCACGUACGGUAGCACCCUAAUGAGUCGCGUUCCUCGGAAUUGGAGCGCUAAGUAGGUGGUAGAUUUCACCUAAAGCUAAAUAUUGAACCGAGACCGAUAGUAAACAAGUACCGUGAGGGAAAGGUGAAAAGGACUUUGGAAAGAGAGUUAAAAGUGCCUGAAAUCGCUGGAAUGUAAGCGAAUGGAACUAGUUCCAGCCAGUGAGAUUGCAUGCAGAAGCUAGUCAGGCCCUUUGCUGUUUCGUCUACUUAUUUUAUAGGUGGAGUUCGUAGGGGUGCUCUUUGGUUAGUUGAUGUGUGCGAUACUCGCUGGAGGACGUCAACAUCAGUGCAAUUGUAAAGGGAUAUUGAAUGGGGUCUCUUUAGGGAUCCUUACGGGUCUCUAUACCCAUUUUAAUUGUUUACUUGUUUACUUUUCGUACUGAGGACAUAAUCUUAAGCGUUUGGAGGUGUCAGCGAUGUCACAAAUACCUUUCGUGUAUUAUUUUAUCGUGAAGGCUGGGUCCACUGCUUGCACUGUGGGCUUUUCUCAGCGGUAAGUGUCGUCGCUUAUCUUUCAUUCCACGAUGUUGACUAAAUGGUUCUAUCCGACCCGUCUUGAAACACGGACCAAGGAGUCUAACUUAUGCGCAAGUAUGUGGGUGCAAAACCCGUAUGCGAAAUGAAAGUGACAGUUGGUAUUAAUAUUUAUUUUAUUAUUGCUCCAACGACCGACCACGAUCUUCGGAAAGAGGUUUGAGUAAGAGCGUAGAGGUUAGGACCCGAAAGAUGGUGAACUAUGCCUGGGUAGGGCGAAGCCUGGGGAAACUCAGGUGGAGGCUCGUAGCGAUA
RNAcentral lists this ribosomal RNA (1076 nucleotides) under Hematodinium perezi. Its description in RNAcentral is "LSU rRNA". It matches the Rfam family "Eukaryotic large subunit ribosomal RNA", at positions 1 to 885 of the family's 3401-position model. Lineage: Eukaryota; Dinophyceae; Syndiniales; Syndiniaceae. The record is from RNAcentral.